UCAUGGGCGAGAGCCUGAACCAGCCAAGUAGCGUGAAGGAUGAAGGCUCUANNGGUCGUAAACUUCUUUUAUAUGGGAAUAAAGUUUUCCACGUGUGGAAUUUUGUAUGUACCAUAUGAAUAAGGAUCGGCUAACUCCGUGCCAGCAGCCGCGGUAAUACGGAGGAUCCGAGCGUUAUCCGGAUUUAUUGGGUUUAAAGGGAGCGUAGGUGGAUUGUUAAGUCAGUUGUGAAAGUUUGCGGCUCAACCGUAAAAUUGCAGUUGAAACUGGCAGUCUUGAGUACAGUAGAGGUGGGCGGAAUUCGUGGUGUAGCGGUGAAAUGCUUAGAUAUCACGAAGAACUCCGAUUGCGAAGGCAGCUCACUAGACUGUCACUGACACUGAUGCUCGAAAGUGUGGGUAUCAAACAGGAUUAGAUACCCUGGUAGUCCAAGGGCGAAUUC
Molecule: ribosomal RNA, 442 nt
Filed under: uncultured bacterium
Lineage: Bacteria
Description: SSU rRNA
Rfam family: Bacterial small subunit ribosomal RNA
Source: RNAcentral